CCCAAGAAGGGCUCUAAGAAGGCGGUAACGAAGACACAGAAGAAGGGCGACAAGAAGCGCAAGAAGAGCCGCAAGGAGAGCUACUCGAUCUACGUCUACAAGGUGCUGAAGCAGGAGCACCCCGACACGGGCAUCUCGUCCAAGGCCAUGGGCAUCAUGAACUCCUUCGUCAACGACAUCUUCGAGCGCAUCGCCGGCGAGACCUCGCGCCUCCUGGCGCCCUACAACAAGCGCUCGACCAUCACGUCGCGGGAGAUCCAGACGGCGGUGCGGCUCCUGCUGCCCGGCGAGCUGGCCAAGCACGCUGUCUCCGAGGGCACCAAGGCUGUCACCAAGUACACCAGCUCCAAGUAGAGCGUCUGGGCUCAUCAGUUUUAA
Molecule: RNA transcript, 378 nt
Organism: Pterocles gutturalis (yellow-throated sandgrouse)
Lineage: Eukaryota; Metazoa; Chordata; Aves; Pterocliformes; Pteroclidae
Gene name: histone H2B 1/2/3/4/6-like
Exons: 1
Source: RefSeq, a predicted model, not a curated record